ACACGAACCAAACGGGCCCUUAGCAAUGUAUCUUCUCCUUUGUCUAUUUAUACUUUCUUUCUAGAGAAAAGAGACGAAAUUGUAACGUCGUUUUGAAAGCAGAGCCCCUUCCCUCUCUAGUCUCAAGUCUCUAGCUUGUCUCAGACCUUGGAAUUCUGUCUAUUUUUCCCGAUGUUUCUCUCCUAUUUUGGGUUUCGUUUGCAAGAAAACUCAAAUCCUUGCAUCUUGUUUUAGCUUUUGUUUAUUUUGUGACUGUAAUCCCCCAAAGCAAGCCCUUUUUGUAUGGCGGAGUUUCCUCCGAAUUUGGACGAUGGAGAAGUGUGGCUUCCCUCCGAUAUUUUUCUCAACGAAGUAGUGCCGGCUUCCUGUCUCAGCCACCGUAACUUAUCUUGCGUCGACAACCUUGCUGAACGUUUCGCUGCUUUCGCGGUGCUCCAGCAUCGCCGAAACGUUUCCAAUGCUCCCCGCAAUCUGUCCCCAAACUUAGAGUGGUUCAGACCAGAGGUUCAAAAGUUCGGUACGAUUAGUCGUGUGCCACAGGAAUAUAUGAGCCUCAAUGGCGGUUAUGAAAACACCGGUCGCGGUCUAUGCGGGUGCGGAGCCAGGCCCUACUCUCCCGUAAACAAAUUGCUCUACGAGUACCAGCUCCUGCAACCAUCUCAACCUAAGGCUGUUGUUGACGGCUUAAGCGCGAGGGUCCUGCGGAAUCAGCAAAACCGCCUUCAAAAUCGCCUUUUGCCGUUUCAGGGAAGUACUGGGUUUGGGCUUAGUGGUGGCUGUGUAAAAGAGUCUGGUGGUACAGGUGUCUUCAUUCCCCGUAUUUUGAACACCUCCGCCACCACAAGUGCUGUCGCUAGUGAUACAAGAAAGCGAAAGGGUGAGUUAUCAAACCUACGCUUGAACUUUUUUAUCUUUUUUUGUUUACUUAAACUGUUUUACGCUUGUGUGUUGCUUUAAAUCUGCAUUAUGGGAUAUUUUUUCUUUGCUCUUGCGUUCAAACGGUCGAGGUAAAGCAUGGAGGGUUUGCUGGGAAAUAAGGAAAGCAUAGUUCUGAGAAAUGAACAGGAGACUCAAGUAACGGGGAACUCCCUCAAAGGAAUUGAUGUAGCCAAGCAAAGGGAAAGUCAUUACUAUCUUCCUCCUGAGAUGAGUUUGCCUCAAGACUGGACUUACUGAACUCAUCUACUACAAACUCGUUUUUGCUGUAAAUUGAUCUUCUGGCUUGAGGAUGAUAUUAAGUAGAGCUCAAGGAAAGAAGAAUGGAAGGUCAAAAUAAUCUUUUGGGUAUCGUGCAGUAAAGCUAAAGAAAUGGAAGUUUAGAGAACUUGGGUUUGUUUUUCUUCCCGAUGCUUACCUUUGUAGAAAUAAAUAAAUAAGUGCUUGGAAGGUUGUCUUUGUACGUAGGAAAUUGAACUGUUUCCUCAGCUGGGUAGUUUAUUAGUAGGCUAAUAGUAUAUUAGUAGGAAAAUCAUAAAUUAGUAUCUCGUCAUUAGUGUAAUAAUUUGUGGUUUCUUGGAA
Molecule: RNA transcript, 1518 nt
Organism: Juglans microcarpa x Juglans regia
Lineage: Eukaryota; Viridiplantae; Streptophyta; Magnoliopsida; Fagales; Juglandaceae
Exons: 4
Source: RefSeq, a predicted model, not a curated record